Long non-coding RNA from Pleuronectes platessa (European plaice), 5325 nucleotides. RefSeq lists it as uncharacterized. Lineage: Eukaryota; Metazoa; Chordata; Actinopteri; Pleuronectiformes; Pleuronectidae. The transcript is spliced from 2 exons. The record is from RefSeq and is a predicted model, not a curated record.
CAAAACUGAUAUUUUUGUAAAAUAUUGUACAGAUCUCUCACUUGCCAGUUUAUACAAAGUCCACAGGAGAAUACAUCCAGUUGAGAAGCCACACCAUGGCAACAGGAGAGGGAUUCGAUUUGCUCAAGCGUUUUCAAAGAAGUUGUUACUUAGUUAUUGUUUCAUUAAAUAAAGACACAACAGUUAGCGAAAACGACACUGGAAAUGUUUCAGGGGGACAAACAAGAGAUGAACCUUGUUGUAGUUCAAUGCUUUAUGAAGUUCCAUCACCACUGAUGAGGAGCAGACUUCAAUAACUUCACAAAGCAGUGAACUACAGACAGGUUCAUCACUUACAUCUACACAAGAGAGAUUGUGUACAUUUGCAUUAGCUGCAUCUCUGCAACUGAAUGUGGAAAAUAUCCCAUUGAGGAGACAUCACUAUAUCAUUGAUGCAGUACAUGGUCAACAACAUUUGCUGAAGUACCCACGUUUCUGUUCUUCAUGUGACUGUCAUUGAUAUUUACAUCUGUGAAGGAAGUGAUGUUUUCAACCAUGUAUCUUUGUUUAUUAAUUUAUCAGCAAUUUAUACCAGAUGGUGCAGGACGGGGGUGAGAGCAAUUGAUUGGGUAAAGUGGCAGAUCCAGGAUAUUUUAUUAUCAGUGAAUGUUGAGAGAUGUUGUCAGUGUCAGGAAAGAUCAAGAUGUAAAAAUCUGACAUACAGUGCCUUGCAUAAGUAUUCACCCCCCUUCGACUUUUUCCCAUUAUGUACUGUUACUAACUGGAAUUCAAAUAGACUUAAAUAAACUUUUUCCCGUUUGAUCAACAAAACAUGCAUAGUACUUUGGAGGUGCAAAAUAAAUUUUAUUGUGACACAAACAAUAAUGAGAACAAAAAAGUUGACAUCUGUUGGGUGCAUAAGUAUUCACCCCCCUGUGUCAAUACUUGGUAGAACCCCCUUUCGCUGCAAUUACAGCUGCAAGUCUUUUGGGGAAUGUCUCUACCAGCUUUGCACAUCUAGAGAUGGAAAGGUUUGUCCAUUCUUCUUGGCAAAAAAGAUGAAGCUCAGUCAGAUUGGAUGGAGACCGUCUGUGAACCGCAAUCUUCAAGUCUUGCCAUAGAUUCUCUAUUGGAUUGAGGUCUGGGCUUUGACUGGGCCAUUUUAAGACAUUAACAUUCUUUAAUCCAAACCAUUCCUUUGUAGCUCUGGCUGUAUGUUUAGGGUCAUUGUCCUGCUGGAAGAUGAACCUCCGCCCCAGUCUCAAGUCUUUUGCAGACUGCAUCAGAUUUUCUUCAAGGAUUUCCCUGUAUUUGGCUCCAUCCAUCUUUCCCUCUAUUCUGACCAGUUUCCCUGUACCUGCUGAAGAGAAGCAUCCCCACAGCAUGAUGCUACCACCAUGUUUCACUGUUGGGAUGGUGUGCUCAGGGUGAUGGGCAGUGUUGGGUUUUCGCCACACAUAGCGUUUUGCAUUGAGGCCAAAAAGUUCAAUUUUGGUCUCAUCUGACCAGAGCACCUUCUUCCACAUGUUUGCUGUGUCUCCCACAUGGCUUCUGGCAAACUCCAAACGGGAUUUUUUAUGGAUCCCUUUCAACAAUGGCUUUCUUCUUGCCACUCUUCCAUAAAGGCCAGAUUUGUGGAGUAGACGACUAAUAGUUGUCCUGUGGAGAGAUUCUCCCACCCCAGCUGUGGAUCUCUGCAACUCCUCCAGAGUAACCAUGGGCCUCCUGGUUGCUUCUCUGAUUAAUUUUCUCCUUGUCCGACUCUUCAGUUUGGGUGGACGGCCUCCUCUUGGUAGGUUUGCGGUUGUGCCAUAUUCUUUUUUUAUUUUCUUAUGAUGGAUUUUAUGGUGCUCAGACAGAUGUUCAAAGCUCUGGAUAUUUUUUUAUAACCUAACCCUGCUUCAUAUUUCUCCACAACUUUAUCCCUGACCUGUUUGGUGAGCUCCUUGGUCUUCAUGAUGCUGUUUGUUCAGUAAUGAUCUCCAACAAACUCUGAGUCCGUCACAGAACAGGUGUAUUUAUACUGAGAUUAAAUUGCAGACAGGUGGACCCUAUUUACUAAUUAUGUGACUUGCAAAUGUGACUUGUGAAUGCAAUUGGUCGCACCAGAUCUUUGUGAGGGGUUUCACAGUAAAGGGGGUGAAUACAUAUGCACUCAACACUUUUCAGAUUUUUAUUUGUAAAUAAUUGUGAAAUCCAUGUAAUAUUUCCCCCCACUUCCAAAUGAUGCACUAUUUUGUGUUGGUCCAUUACAUAAACUCACGAUGAAAUAAAUUUUAAUCUGUGGUUAUACCAUGACAAAAUGUAGAAAAGUCCAAAGGGGGUGAAUACUUAUGCAAGGCACUGUAUUUGUGGUAAAGAAAUUUAUAGGAACUGUUAGAAGAAUUGUAUAUAAGUUAUCAUGUUUGAAUGUACUGCUGAUGCAAAGUGUGACUGUCUGACAUAGAGGUGCAGUCUGGCACCUCUUAGUUCAACAACAGGGCAACAACGCUUUCCAAGAAACCACAGACAGAUGCUGUCUAGUUUUCUACUUAAACAGGAAACACGCCUGGAAAGAUGUGAUGAUGAAGAUGUUUCACUUUUCUGUAUGCAAAUGUAACCCCACCUUGUUGUUGUAACUGAGCUUUCGAAUAAAUACGCUGUAUACGGGAAGUACCGUCGAAGUUGGCUGCGACCUACUCAAAGGUGCGGACUUCCCUUGCAAGUAAAAACUACGUACGAGUGUAUGUGUGGUGUUUGAUUCGUGAAUUCUUACAACAUUGAUACAUGUCUGGGUGAAAUUCCCUCGACAUUUUUGGUCCUUCGAGCCGGAUGCCAACAGAUCCAGACCAGGGGAGCGGAUCGAGAGAGAACUGAAGACUGUGCACAGCCCUUAGGACAAAGUCCUGUGGAGUGAAUUCUUCCCAGGCCAGUUCGACCUGACCUGUUCCUUGGACUGGAUUGACGGCAUCCGAACAAAAAGAAGACGAAUCAAACAGGUUCCAAAAGUGACUGUGGGAGAUUUCGUGUUCAUCAAGUCGAUAAAAAGGAAGCACUGGAACAGCCCACGGUGGGAGGGACCGCAUCAAGUGCUGCUCACAACACCCACUGCAGUAAAGAUCGCUGAGAGAGGAACCUGGAUACAUCUCUCUCACUGCAAAAAGGCAACACAGGAGACCGGUGACGCCACUGGUUAGGAGGGGAAGCCUGACUUCAAAGGGGGGUUACCUAAUAGUGGUGACUCGUCUCAACGUCAGUGAAGUAAACAACGAUCCCCUAACCGUUAGGGCAUUCACUGGAAACCUGGUAUUGUAUAAAAAAAAUGAAGUUACUGAGACUGUUUGCAGUGGGAGUAUGUUGUGUCCUUACAGGUUUGAUGCUGAUGAGAGAUGGAGAUGACACUGCAAGGAAGAAGAGAGAACUUCUGACUGGGCAUGACAUAAACCACAACAUAUGGUAUCGCAAUGCUAACUUGACAGCUUACAAAAGUAAUGUGACCAACUGUUACGUAUGUAGCUUUGUCCCACACCAUGCUAAUUCUAACCCGUUCUGGACACCAGAACCUGAGACUGAGGUUAACACUCUGUGUAUAGCAGCAUUCUGGUACAUGCAAGUGAUCGAGAAUGACAAAUACUUCACUCGAUGGCUUCCAAAUUGUACUAAGAGUCAACCUAUUAAAGAAUGGCGAGAUCCUAGAAACUACACCAAAAAGACUAACCAAACUAAUCUGGAGGGAAUAGCACCCGCCCGCUAUCCAACCAAAUCUCCUUUCUGUUUCUCCGUGACUUGUAGAGAGAGUUUAUAACGUAAUAAUUCCCGCUACCAAGUACUUGGGAAAGUCAGAUUGUUUGGUAACUCUAAAAGUAGCUAGUGACGCAGAUCAGAAUAAAGGAUAUUGGCAUCCACUGUACAGCGGCAGCUCUCCCAGUAAACCCUGUAACCACCUGGGUGUCCACUGCAACGUGGAUCACGCACCAAUAAAUUGGACAGCGGUCGGAGAAAGAGCUGAAAUACAGGGAUGGCAAAGCAUACCUUCUAUGUGGAUGUUUUUACCUGGCGAGAAUGGUUACCCCAGUCCAACCACUCAUGUGUGGGUAUGUGGCAAAGAUAUGUAUCUGUACCUCCCUAACAACUGGUGUGGAACUUGUCAUUUGGCUAGACUAGUUCCUGCAGUUGUAUUGAUUCCUGCAGCUGACGUCUCAAAGGCUAUGGCCAACACUCCAACACGAGUAAAACGCUCUAUGGAAGAAACAACAGUUAACAAAGACAAAGAACCAUUGAUAAACGAUGCAAGAGGUGUGUUCAUGACAAUCUUCCCAAUGUACGGUGUGGCAUAUUUGGCCCACAGGAUGAAUGAGAUGCACGCCGAUUUAGAAGACAUUGCUGAGUCUCUGGAGGGGGUCCUUAAACAUCUAGUGGAGGACCCUGAAAAGAGGGCAAUGCGAGCCAUGAUUCUGCAGAACAGACUAGCACUCGACUACCUAUUAGCUAACCAGGGAGGGGUGUGUGAACUCAUAGGUGACCAGUGUUGUACGUUCAUUCCUGACCCGACUAGCAAUCUCACCAAUAUGCUUAACAAAGUGACUGAAUUACGGAAGCACCUGACAGACAAAAAAGAUGGCCAGUGGAGUCCAUGGACAUGGGUGUCCUCUGGAGGGUAUCUCCAAAUCGUUGGAAAGAUCCUCAUUCCUGUUGGUGCUGUUUUGCUCUUGUUUUGUGUUUUCAUGAGCUGUGUGUUACCAUGCAUUCGAACAAUGGUUAACAAAGCUGUAGGUCAAUCUGUUACUGCUGUAAUGAUGAGUGAAGAGUAUUUGACUCUGCUUCACAGCCCUGACGGAGAUGGUGAUAUCGACCUUGAGGAUGAAGACACAGAACUGUAGCAACAUUGAAAGAUUUAACUUUUCCCUCUGAGUGUAAAUAAAAAUGAAGGUGUUAUGAAAAUGAUGGUCACGCAGAAAACUUGCAAAAGAGAUGCUAUGACUUGACAGAGAGGAUUUGACAUUCAUUAAUGAUAAACAGGAGGGAAAUGUUAGAAGAAUUGUAUAUAAGUUAUCAUGUUUGAAUGUACUGCUGAUGCAAAGUGUGACUGUCUGACAUAGAGGUGCAGUCUGGCACCUCUGAGUUCAACAACAGGGCAACAACGCUUUGCAAGAAACCACAGACAGAUGCUGUCUAGUUUUCUACUUAAACAGGAAACACGCCUGGAAAGAUGUGAUGAUGAAGAUGUUUCACUUUUCUGUAUGCAAAUGUAACCCCACCUUGUUGUUGUAACUGAGCUUUCGAAUAAAUACGCUGUAUACGGGAAGUACCGUCGAAGUUGGCUGCGACCUACUCAAAGGUGCGGACUUCCCUUGCAAGUAAAAACUA